This 366-nucleotide ribosomal RNA is filed under the name Acholeplasmataceae bacterium. RNAcentral's name for it is "partial 23S ribosomal RNA". It matches the Rfam family "Bacterial large subunit ribosomal RNA", at positions 2559 to 2925 of the family's 2925-position model. Lineage: Bacteria; Bacillati; Mycoplasmatota; Mollicutes; Acholeplasmatales; Acholeplasmataceae. The record is from RNAcentral.
CAGGUUCCAAGGGUUGGGCUGUUCGCCCAUUAAAGCGGUACGCGAGCUGGGUUCAGAACGUCGUGAGACAGUUCGGUCCCUAUCUGUCGUGGGCGUUGGAAAUUUGAGAGGAGCUGUCCCUAGUAUGAGAAGACCGGGAUGGACGCACCGCUGGUGUACCAGUUGGCCUACCAGGGCCACCGCUGGGUAGCUAUGUGCGGAAGGGAUAAGCGCUGAAAGCAUAUAAGCGUGAAGCCCCCCUCAAGAUGAGAUUUCCCACUCGCAAGAGGUAAGAUCCCUUAGAGAUGAUGAGGUUGAUAGGUCAGGUGUGUAAGCACGGUGACGUGUUUAGCUGACUGAUACUAAUAGAUCGAGGACUUAACCUUA